Molecule: ribosomal RNA, 491 nt
Filed under: uncultured bacterium
Lineage: Bacteria
Description: partial 16S ribosomal RNA
Rfam family: Bacterial small subunit ribosomal RNA
Source: RNAcentral
AUGAACGCUAGCUACAGGCUUAACACAUGCAAGUCGAGGGGAAACGACAUCGAAAGCUUGCUUUUGAUGGGCGUCGACCGGCGCACGGGUAAGUAACGCGUAUCCAACCUGCCCACCACUUGGGGAUAACCUUGCGAAAGUAAGACUAAUACCCAAUGAUAUCCCACGAAGACAUCUGAAUGGGAUUAAAGAUUUAUCGGUGAUGGAUGGGGAUGCGUCUGAUUAGCUUGUUGGCGGGGUAACGGCCCACCAAGGCAACGAUCAGUAGGGGUUCUGAGAGGAAGGUCCCCCACAUUGGAACUGAGACACGGUCCAAACUCCUACGGGAGGCAGCAGUGAGGAAUAUUGGUCAAUGGGCGAGAGCCUGAACCAGCCAAGUAGCGUGCAGGAAGACGGCCCUAUGGGUUGUAAACUGCUUUUAUAAGGGAAUAAAGUGGGUCACGUGUGACUUUUUGCGUGUACCUUAUGAAUAAGGACCGGCUAAUUCCGUG